This 674-nucleotide ribosomal RNA is filed under the name uncultured Bacilli bacterium. RNAcentral's name for it is "bacterial SSU rRNA". It matches the Rfam family "Bacterial small subunit ribosomal RNA", at positions 64 to 719 of the family's 1533-position model. Lineage: Bacteria; Bacillati; Bacillota; Bacilli. The record is from RNAcentral.
GAACGAGAGCGACCGGUGCUUGCACUGGUCAAUCUAGUGGCGAACGGGUGAGUAACACGUGGGUAACCUGCCCAUCAGAGGGGGAUAACAUUCGGAAACGGAUGCUAAAACCGCAUAGGUCCUUUAACCGCAUGGUUGAAGGAGGAAAAGAGGCGCAAGCUUCUGCUGAUGGAUGGACCCGCGGUGCAUUAGCUAGUUGGUGAGGUAACGGCUCACCAAGGCCGUGAUGCAUAGCCGACCUGAGAGGGUGAUCGGCCACAUUGGGACUGAGACACGGCCCAAACUCCUACGGGAGGCAGCAGUAGGGAAUCUUCCGCAAUGGACGCAAGUCUGACGGAGCAACGCCGCGUGAGUGAAGAAGGUUUUCGGAUCGUAAAACUCUGUUGUUAGAGAAGAACAAGUGCUAGAGUAACUGUUAGCGCCUUGACGGUAUCUAACCAGAAAGCCACGGCUAACUACGUGCCAGCAGCCGCGGUAAUACGUAGGUGGCAAGCGUUGUCCGGAUUUAUUGGGCGUAAAGCGAGCGCAGGCGGUUCCUUAAGUCUGAUGUGAAAGCCCCCGGCUCAACCGGGGAGGGUCAUUGGAAACUGGGGAACUUGAGUGCAGAAGAGGAGAGUGGAAUUCCAUGUGUAGCGGUGAAAUGCGUAGAUAUAUGGAGGAACACCAGUGGCGAA